Molecule: ribosomal RNA, 253 nt
Filed under: uncultured bacterium
Lineage: Bacteria
Description: partial 16S ribosomal RNA
Rfam family: Bacterial small subunit ribosomal RNA
Source: RNAcentral
UACGUAGGGGGCAAGCGUUGUCCGGAAUUAUUGGGCGUAAAGAGCGUGUAGGCGGUCCGGUAAGUCAGCUGUGAAAGUCAAGGGCUCAACCCUUGAAUGCCGGUUGAUACUGUCGGGCUAGAGUCCGGAAGAGGCGAGUGGAAUUCCCGGUGUAGCGGUGAAAUGCGCAGAUAUCGGGAGGAACACCAAUUGCGAAGGCAGCUUGCUGGGACGGUACUGACGCUGAGGCGCGAAAGCGUGGGGAGCAAACAGG